This 285-nucleotide unclassified non-coding RNA is filed under the name Gigaspora margarita. RNAcentral describes it as "partial contains 5.8S ribosomal RNA, internal transcribed spacer 2, and large subunit ribosomal RNA". The stretch from base 1 to 71 matches the Rfam family "5.8S ribosomal RNA", at positions 84 to 154 of the family's 154-position model. Lineage: Eukaryota; Fungi; Glomeromycota; Glomeromycetes; Diversisporales; Gigasporaceae. The record is from RNAcentral.
GUGAAUCAUCGAAUUUUUGAACGCACAUUGCACUUCUUGGUAUUCCGAGGAGUACACAUGCUUGAGGGUCAGUUAAAAAAAAUCGUACAUCAUUGAUGUUGCGGAUCUGUGUAUUCCUAUUUUAUAAUUGGUUACCUAAAAUUAAUAUGUUUAUGUAAUGUCUAGCUUACUAAUUAUAUAGUCGCGAAUCAUUUAUACUUAUAUUACAACUAUACGAAAGUAUAUAGUUGUUGUAUAAAUUAUGAGAAUGACCUCAAGUCAUGUGAGAGUACCCGCUGAACUUAA